Molecule: ribosomal RNA, 279 nt
Filed under: uncultured Staphylococcus sp.
Lineage: Bacteria; Bacillati; Bacillota; Bacilli; Caryophanales; Staphylococcaceae
Description: partial 16S ribosomal RNA
Rfam family: Bacterial small subunit ribosomal RNA
Source: RNAcentral
CCUUUGACGUUAGCGGCGGACGGGUGAGUAACACGUGGGUAACCUACCUAUAAGACUGGGAUAACUUCGGGAAACCGGAGCUAAUACCGGAUAAUAUUUCGAACCGCAUGGUUCGAUAGUGAAAGGUGGUUUUGCUAUCACUUAUAGAUGGACCCGCGCCGUAUUAGCUAGUUGGUAAGGUAACGGCUUACCAAGGCGACGAUACGUAGCCGACCUGAGAGGGUGAUCGGCCACACCGGAACUGAGACACGGUCCAGACUCCUACGGGAGGCAGCAGCU